RNAcentral lists this ribosomal RNA (464 nucleotides) under uncultured bacterium. Its description in RNAcentral is "bacterial SSU rRNA". It matches the Rfam family "Bacterial small subunit ribosomal RNA", at positions 917 to 1382 of the family's 1533-position model. The record is from RNAcentral.
GGGCCCGCACAAGCAGUGGAGUAUGUGGUUUAAUUCGACGCAACGCGAAGAACCUUACCUGGGUUUGACAUGCAGGGGAAAGCUACAGAGAUGUAGCCUCGGCUUCGGUCGCCGCUGCACAGGUGCUGCAUGGCUGUCGUCAGCUCGUGCCGUGAGGUGUUGGGUUAAGUCCCGCAACGAGCGCAACCCUCGUCCUUAGUUGCCAUGCCGCAAGGCGGAACCCUAAGGAGACUGCCGGGGACAACCCGGAGGAAGGUGGGGAUGACGUCAAGUCCUCAUGGCCCUUACAUCCAGGGCUACACACGUACUACAAUGGUCGGUACAGUAGGUUGCAAGACCGCGAGGUGGAGCUAAUCCUCAAAACCGGCCUCAGUUCAGAUUGAAGUCUGCAACUCGACUUCAUGAAGGUGGAAUUGCUAGUAAUCGCAGAUCAGCACGCUGCGGUGAAUACGUUCCCGGGCCUU